GAAAGCCGUGUGCAGGAAAACUGCAUGCACGCUUUGAUGAGGGGGGUAGGCGAGAACCUGUUCUCUACUCCAC
This 73-nucleotide non-coding RNA is filed under the name Candidatus Nitrotoga sp. LAW. Lineage: Bacteria; Pseudomonadati; Pseudomonadota; Betaproteobacteria; Nitrosomonadales; Gallionellaceae. The record is from RNAcentral.